ACAGCAGUAGCCGCGGGAAUACGGAGGAUCCAAGCGUUAUCCGGAAUCAUUGGGUUUAAAGGGUCCGUAGGCGGUCUUGUAAGUCAGUGGUGAAAGCCCAUCGCUCAACGGUGGAACGGCCAUUGAUACUGCAGGACUUGAAUUAUUGGGAAGUAACUAGAAUAUGUAGUGUAGCGGUGAAAUGCUUAGAGAUUACAUGGAAUACCAAUUGCGAAGGCAGGUUACUACCAAUUGAUUGACGCUGAUGGACGAAAGCGUGGGUAGCGAACAGGAUUAGAUACCCGAGUAGUCCCUGUCUCUUAUAA
RNAcentral lists this ribosomal RNA (305 nucleotides) under uncultured bacterium. RNAcentral's name for it is "partial 16S ribosomal RNA". It matches the Rfam family "Bacterial small subunit ribosomal RNA", at positions 508 to 809 of the family's 1533-position model. The record is from RNAcentral.